GUGUCAGCCGCCGCGGUAAUACGUAGGGUGCAGGCGUUAAUCGGAAUUACUGGGUGUAAAGCGUGCGCAGGCGGUUUGCUAAGACCGAUGUGAAAUCCCCGGGCUCAACCUGGGAACUGUAUUGGUGACUGGCAGGCUAGAGUAUGGCAGAGGGGGGUAGAAUUCCACGUGUAGCAGUGAAAUGCGUAGAGAUGUGGAGGAAUAUCGAUGGCGAAGGCAGCCCCCUGGGCCAAUACUGACGCUCAUGCACGAAAGCGUGGGGAGCAAACAGGAUUAGAUACCCCCGUAGUCC
RNAcentral lists this ribosomal RNA (292 nucleotides) under uncultured prokaryote. Its description in RNAcentral is "partial 16S ribosomal RNA". It matches the Rfam family "Bacterial small subunit ribosomal RNA", at positions 505 to 796 of the family's 1533-position model. The record is from RNAcentral.